GCACUGCUGAGGAGUCCCAUAAUAGGACGAAACAGCUGUCCAGUGU
Schistosoma mansoni is the source of this 46-nucleotide non-coding RNA. Lineage: Eukaryota; Metazoa; Platyhelminthes; Trematoda; Strigeidida; Schistosomatidae. The record is from Rfam.